RNAcentral lists this microRNA (21 nucleotides) under Ectocarpus siliculosus. RNAcentral describes it as "esi-miR3460-3p". The record is from miRBase by way of RNAcentral. Lineage: Eukaryota; Phaeophyceae; Ectocarpales; Ectocarpaceae.
UCACGAGCUGCAGGUUCCCUU